CCCUUAGAUGUCCUGGGCCGCACGCGCGUUACACUGAUGCAUUCAACGAGCUUAUAGCCUUGGCCGAGAGGCCUGGGCAAUCUUGUUAACGUGCAUCGUGAUAGGGACAGAUUAUUGAAAUUAUUAAUCUUGAACGAGGAAUUCCUAGUAAACGCAGAUCAUCAAUCUGCAUUGAUUACGUCCCUGCCCUUUGUACACACCGCCCGUCGCACCUACCGAUUGGAUGGUCCGGUGAAGCCUCGGGAUUGUGGUUCUUGCCGCUUUAUUGUGGCGUGACCGCGAGAACUUGUCUAAACCUUAUCAUCUAGAGGAAGGUGAAGUCGUAACA
RNAcentral lists this ribosomal RNA (328 nucleotides) under uncultured eukaryote. RNAcentral's name for it is "partial 18S ribosomal RNA". It matches the Rfam family "Eukaryotic small subunit ribosomal RNA", at positions 1470 to 1796 of the family's 1831-position model. The record is from RNAcentral.